CCAGUUUGGGCUGCGCUUGCCUCCUCUCCUUUUCUAUGAAGACCGAGGCUUAGCCCCCUGAUCGUCAAGCCGCGAGAUGCGUGAUCUCUCUGCACAAGUGUCUGGCAGGCCGAGGUGCACCUGUUCAUGUCACUCUGGAGUAAAUUUAGCUGUAAAGGUAUCAUUGACAACCAGACCUUUGUCAGUGCUGGCAAAAGAACACAGAAUUACUUUCCUCCCCUCCCCCCCUCCAAAGCCCCUCCACUACUAGUUCCAAUGGAAAAUAUCCAAUCGGAAGUCUAUCCAAAAAUCAUUCCUAAAAAAUGAAAUUGCUUUCAUAUGGUAUAAAAAAGUAAGUUUCCUCAUUUCACACAGGCUUUAAAAUUACAUUUCCAAGAAUAAUCUUGGAACAAGACAAGUUUUUGUUCAAUUAAUUGUGGCUGGAAACUUUUUAAUGGAAACAUAGCACACACUUACUUCAUUUCAGGUUAUUAAAUUGUGUUAAGCAUUAAAGUUAGUUGCAAUUCUUUGCUGUAGCUCAUUUGUUCUUCUCAAUCCAAAGAAAUAUUAGAAGGUUAAAACUUAUCACAUAGGAGGGAUUAAUCAUGCUACCAAAAUUAGAAAGCAUGUAGCUCUGUAAGACCGAGUGUGGAAAUUGUGUGCUCAUAGCACUUAAACUAUUGGGAAUCUAGGCUUCCCCUGCAGCACUUGACAUGGCAAUUCAUGUCUGUGGAAAUCCCUGGUAGUUGGAAGCUGGCUAAAGCUAGGGUUCUCUUAUUCAUUGGUUAAGGGCACCACUUUCAGAUAAAAACAUAGACCUGAAUAGCAUCAUCCAGUAUCCAAGGAAACCAUGACUUCUAGACUGAGGAAAAUGAGAGAAGCAAGAAACAUCAGCUCAUCAAUCCAGAAUGUCAGAGAAAGCAAUAUUUUGUUUUUUAAAGGAAAAAGGCUUGGACUAUUCAUGGGCCUUUCAAUAUAGUCCUACUUAAUCUACCCUACUUUUGAAUUAAGAUCUAGUCCUAUUAGGCAUUCCUUUUCUUCUUUGCUACCCUCACAAACAACUACUUUGUCUCCCCCAUCUCUUUUCUCUAGAUCAUUUUCCCGGUCUUUUUUCUAUUAAUACACAUUGUGCUGUGUCUCAAACCCUCACUGUGGCCUUCAGAGGUGAACACACAUGAAGACUUGAGCACAGGACCAGUAUAUGUAUUUAGCUCUGGGUGUAUCACUGUCACACCCCACACCACAUGGAAAAGGUGUUUCUGGAUCCCAGGAGCUCUCUAGUUCUUCAUGAAGCUCCCCGCUGUGUUCACUUGCCACCUGACUUCUUAUUGUAUCUGUUGCCUAGAUGUCCCCAGUACCUGUCUACUUGUCCUGCCAGACCACCAGCUCGGUCUGGUCUCAGGGUACAGCUGUUUCUCUCCAUUACUUUCUUCCAUGAUUGACAAUUUCUGGAUAACCUAUGGAAAUCUGUGGUGACAACUUUGAACGACUCUGAGUUUUGUAGCUGGCUCCUUGGAAAUCUCCAGUGAAAUUCCCAGAGUGAUAAGGGCUAAAGAAGUUCAAAGGACCAGUAGAGAUUGCCACAGAAACUGCAGCAUUUUUAAAGCAGUAUUGCUGUUAGGCUGUGAACUACAAUGGGCACAAAGAAUGAUUCUCCCUUUUAAAAAUGCUAUGUUGUGACUCUCGCUACUUGCCUCACUGGUUGUCACAAUUGUGUACAGACAAAGUUCUUCAGUGUGUGGUGCAUGGCUCCACACUAUUCUGCCACUCAAGUGAAGGGUAUGCCUAGGGCCUUAGUUUGUGUAAACAUUGUUUUGCUGACUAUGAAUUUUGAACUACUAAUGUUACCACCUUCCACUUAGUGAUAAUUUACUCUUCUAUUCCAUGCUGAUGUUUUAGAUCAAGAUUUUAUGUUAAAAUUUAGGCACUUUUAUGUGCAUUCCUGCUUGCUUAGAUAAAAUUAGAACACAUGGCUUAAUUAGUAAGAUGUGUAUGUUCAUGAGGGAAGGCACACUUUCCACCAUUUUCCCCCCAUUUCCAGAAAAUUGCAUUAUGAAAAUAUUGCUUUGGAAAAGGAACGGAGCCAUUCCCUGAGUGGAAUUUAUUAUAAUUUAGCAGUUAUAUAAUUGUAAUUGAGCCACUCUAACAAAGGCUACCAUUCAUUUCUGUUGAAGCAUCAUCUAAAAAAAUCUAGCAACAUCUACUUUUGGAACUGAUGCUGGUCUACUGACUAGGUAACCAUGCCUGAACACAAAUUUGAAGCCCUUUGGGAACUAAAUAUUGUUCUCAUUGUUUAUUAACUAUCUGAAUUUCUAAUAUCCAUUCUUUGAGGUCUUAAGAGAUGAUAGUAUUCAAUGGAAAUACAUGUUGUAGGGAUAACAUGCUGAACUGCUACAACUAAUACUUGAAUGAUAAUAAGUAGUCAACUUGAUGAGAAGUAAUGUUUAGUCAGCUUUUUUGCUGCUAUGACCAAAAGAGCUGAAAACUUUUCCUCAUUAAAGGAGGAAAAGUUUAUUUGUGGGCUCACAGUUUCAGAGGUCUCAGUUCAUAGAUGUCAGUCACCAUUACUUGGGGCUCAAAGUGUGGCAGAGCAUCAUGGUGAAAGUGUUUGGCAGAAGACAGCAGCUCAAGAUGUGGCAGCGUGGAAGCAGAGAGAGAUUAUCCGGUCUCCAGGGACAAAAUAUAUACCCUAAAAGCACCCCCCUAGAAACCUACUUCCUUUAGCCACACAAUAACUGCCUAGGGUUGCCAUCCAGUUAAUACCAUUCAGGGGAUUAACACACUGAUUAAAGUUAAGUCUCUUAUAAUCUAAUCAUUUCACCUCUUAACAUUCUUUCAUUGUUUUACACAUGAGCUUUUGGGGGACACUUCAUAUCUAAACAAUAAAAAGUAGGCCUAUGCAAAUAGUUUAUAGAGAUGUCACCUGGAAGUGACUGAAAAAGUAGAGAGAGGUCUGAAAGUGAGAGCUACAAACUCUAAUGUUUGUCUACUGUCUGUUUAUUAAAGUUAUAAAAAUUUGUUAAACUCUGGUUAUAUAAUUAUUUUGCUGAGCCUUGCUGGAACCAUCUUUAUUUUUUUUAAAAGAAUAUGUAUGUUCAUUAAUUUUUUAAAAUAAUAAAAAUGGACAGACCAAUAAUGAGUUCAAGUCAGUAAUAAAAAGUCUCCUAUCAAAGACAAACCCAGGACCAGAUGGCUUCACUACUGAAUUCUAAAAAAGCACUUACAGAAAAACUAAUAUUAAUUCUUAAAGUACACAAAACAUUGAAGUGGAAAGAAUUCUUUCAAACUAAUUCUGUGAGACCUGUGUUACCUUGCUACCCAAAUCAGAUAAGAACACAACAAAAAAAUAAAACUUCAGGCCAAUGUCCUUGAUGAGCAUAGAUGCAAAAAUCCUCAAUAAAAUGCUAGCAAACUGAAUCCAACAGCACAUUAUAAUGUUAUUUACCAUGAUCAAGUGGUACUCAUCCCAGGGAUGUAAUAAUUAUUCAACAUUAGCAAGCCAAUAAAGGUGGUGCAACAUAUCAACAGAAUGAAGGAGAAAACUAAUAUGAUCAUCUUAAUAGAUGCAGAAGAUGAAUUUGAUGAAAUUCAACAUCCAUCAUGAUAAAACUCUGAGCAAAUUAGGUAUAAAAGGAACAUACUUCAACAUAAUAAAUGUCAUAUAUAAUAAGAUAACAGUUUAUAUACAGAAUAGAGAGAAACUGAAAGUUCUAAGAUCUGGAACAAAACAAGGAUGUCCACUUUUGCCACAUUUACUCAAAAUCAACAUAUAAAAAUCAAUAGUGUUGCUAUAUACCAGUAGCCAAUUAUCUCAAGUAGAAAUCAAAAAAGCAAUUUCAUUUAUUAUAGCUAAUAUAUAUAUAUGAUUAAAAUUAUGGAAAUUAGUGAACUGGGCAUGGCUGCACAUGACUAUGUGUAAUAAUUCAGGAGACUGAGACAGGAGGAUUUCAAGUUCAAGGCCAAUUUGAGCAACUUGGAGAGACCCUAUCUCAAAAUAAAAAAAUAUAAAAGGCUGGGUUAAAUCACCAGAACCAGAAGAAAAAAAGACAUUGGUGAAAUUAUUUGAAGAUGACAAAGAAAAAUGGAAUAAAAAAAUUUUGCAGAUUGCAAGAAUCAAUACUGUUAAAACAUCCAUACUUUCCAAAGCAAUCUAUGAAUUCAAAGCAUUUUUUAUCAAAAUACCAAUAACAUUCUUCACAGUAUGUGAAAAUCCCCCCAAAUCUGUGUAGAAUCACACACACACACACACACACACACACACACACACACACACACACCCCUGAUAGUCAAAACCAUCUUGAGCAAAAAGAACAAAGCAGGAGACAUUAUACCUGAUUUCACCAUAUUCUACAAAACUACAGUCAUCAAAAUAUGAUUGAGCUUUAUGAUUGAGCUAUAUCACACCUGGGUAUAUAUCCAAAGGAGUCAAAGUCAGCAUACUUCAGAGAUACCUGCAUACCCAUGUUAAUUACAGCACUAUUUAUAAUAGCCAAGUUAUAGAAUCAGCCUAGGUGCCCAUUGAUGGAUUAGUAGAUAAAGAAAAUGUGGUAUACAACAGACUAUUAUUAUUCAGCCAUUAAAAAGAGUAAAAUCACAUCAUUUGUAAAAUGGAUGGAAUGGGAGAUCAUAAUGUUAAGCCAAGUAAGUCUGACUCAGAAAAAACAAGUAUCAUAUCUUUUCCCUGUAUAGGGGUGGAAAGAUAUGAAAGUUGCAGGGAUAUUAUUAGUGAAGAGGAAGGGGGUCAGGAGGAAGGUAGAAAAGAGGACAAGAGAGAAUAAUAAGAAGUAUACACAAUCAAAGUAUGUUAUUUGCAUAUGCCAUAAUGAAACCCAUUGUUCCGUAAAAUUAAAAUUCACUUAAAAAAGAAAAACAACAGAUAUUGGUAUAAAACUAGACACACAGACCAUUGGAACAGAAUCAGCCAAGAAGCAAACCCGUGCUUCUAUAGCUAACUGAAUUUCAACAAAUUGGUGAAAGGGAAGUCUUUUCAAUAAAUGGUGUUGAAAAAUUAGAUAACCAAAUGCAGAAGAAAAAUAAAACUAGAAAAUGUGAUGGAUAAGCAUACUAGAAUACUAUUCAGCCAUAAAAGAAAGAAAUCCUGUCUUUUGUGAUAACACUGAUGGAACUGAAGAUCAUGAUGUUAAGGGAAAUAUACCAGACACAGCGAGACAAACAUUGCAUGAUCUCAGUCAUACGUGAAAUCUAAGAUUGUUGAUCUCAUAGAAGUUGAGAGUAGAAUGGUGGUUACCAGAGGCUGAUGAAAGUAGGAGGAAGGAAGGGAUGGGACACCAUACUUCCAUAGGAGCAAGAAGUUCUGCUGGGCUACUGUGUAGUAGGGAUACUAUAGAUAACAAUAAGGUGCAGCAUAUUUCUAAAAGCUAGAAGAAAAAAUUUUGAAUAUUUUCAUCAAAAGUAUGUCUACAUAUGCCUAAAGAGAGAUGUUUAACCUGAUUUAAACCUAACAAUUGCAUAUAUGUGAGUGAAUAUCCCAUGAUGCCCCAUAAAUAUAUAAAAUUUUUAUAUUUGUGUGUAUCAGCCAAACAUUGAAUCAAAAAUCAUUAAAGUGUUAUGAUUUACCCAA
Non-coding RNA from Ictidomys tridecemlineatus (thirteen-lined ground squirrel), 5560 nucleotides. The record is from RefSeq and is a predicted model, not a curated record. Lineage: Eukaryota; Metazoa; Chordata; Mammalia; Rodentia; Sciuridae.